Molecule: long non-coding RNA, 480 nt
Filed under: Carica papaya (papaya)
Lineage: Eukaryota; Viridiplantae; Streptophyta; Magnoliopsida; Brassicales; Caricaceae
Description: long non-coding RNA (CPAP_LNC016039)
Source: RNAcentral
UCUCAAUUUUAUUUGUUCUUCGAAGACUCCUUAUGGCUUCAUGUUUGGGCACAUAAUAUGGAAUUCCUGGAUAUACUUGUGUGAGUCUUCAUUUUUUAAUCCUUGAAACUUUAGAAGCAAAUGAAUCAGCGAAGAUUUUAGCUCAAACACAGCUUUCAAGGCUACACAAGUGAUGCAAAGGGGUUGCUAGUUGGUAAGCGAGGCUGCUAACUCCUUUAAAGUACAUUCCUCAGUCAUCUGCUCUAUUUCUGCUUCUCUUUCGGGGGUUGUACUGCUAUCUGCACAAACUAUGUCCUGUUGACACGUUCUUCUCUUUAGUUGAGUAUUUUCCUUAAACUUUUUGCGAUUUUUUUUAUUUCUGAAUUAUAAAGAAGAGGUUCUCCACGAUCGGUCUUGGUCAUAAAAAGGAAAAAUAAUUAGUUAAUCUCAAUUCUCUGGCAAUGGUGCCAAAAUUUGAUGCGUGUCGAAUCUACCAAAAGU